UCGAUUAGAACUCUUAGAAAAAAUAACGCUGUUAUCCCUAAGGUAAUUUUUUCUUUUAAUCUUUAAAAUAAGGAUCAUCCAAAGUCACUUAUAAAUGUCUUUAUUAAAAAAAAGUUUAUUUAAUUUUUUAAUCACCCCAAUUAAAUUCUUAUAUAUUAAAAAAAAUAAAAUACUAAAAUUUAAAUUUUAAUAAUAAUAAAAAUAAAACUCUAUAGGGUCUUCUCGUCUUUCAUAUUUAUUUAAGCUUUCUCACUUAAAAAUAAAAUUCAAAAAUUUUAAACUGAGACAGUAGUUUUUUCAUCAAACCUUUCAUACCAGCUUCUAAUUAAGAAACUAAUGAUUAUGCUACCUUAGCACGGUCAAAAUACCGCGGCCUUUUAA
This 381-nucleotide ribosomal RNA is filed under the name Orthotomicus caelatus. RNAcentral's name for it is "partial 16S ribosomal RNA". The record is from RNAcentral. Lineage: Eukaryota; Metazoa; Arthropoda; Insecta; Coleoptera; Curculionidae.